Molecule: ribosomal RNA, 435 nt
Filed under: Pirateolea sp. PICAG3740
Lineage: Eukaryota; Metazoa; Arthropoda; Insecta; Lepidoptera; Noctuidae
Description: partial 16S large subunit ribosomal RNA
Source: RNAcentral
GAUUUUAAUUGAAGGGCUGCAGUAUAUUGACUGUACAAAGGUAGCAUAAUCAUUAGUCAUUUAAUUGAUGACUUGUAUGAAGGAUUGGAUGAAAUAUAAUCUGUCUCUUAAUUAAUAAUAUAAUUUAAUUUUUUAAUUAAAAAGUUAAAAUGAUUUAAAAAGACGAGAAGACCCUAUAGAGUUUUAUAAAUAAAUUAAUUAAGAUUAUUUAAUAAUAUAAAAUUAAAAUUAAUUUAUUUAUUUUAUUGGGGUGAUAGAAAAAUAUAUUUAACUUUUUUUUAACAAAAACAUUUAUAAGUGGUUAAAUGAUCCAGUAUUAUUGAUUAUAAGAAAAAAUUACCUUAGGGAUAACAGCGUAAUUUUUUUUUUUAGUUCAUAUAAGAAAAAGAGUUUGCGACCUCGAUGUUGGAUUAAGAUAAAAUUUAAAUGCAGAAG